UUCAACCAUUGCUGAUACAAUGGCAUAGUUCGGCAGAUUAACCAUGAAGAAUAAUCUAAAUCGACUUUCGCUCCUAGCUGAUGUAUCAG
Coregonus clupeaformis (lake whitefish) is the source of this 89-nucleotide small nucleolar RNA. RefSeq annotates it as small nucleolar RNA snR60/Z15/Z230/Z193/J17. NCBI's taxonomy places the organism in Eukaryota, Metazoa, Chordata, Actinopteri, Salmoniformes, Salmonidae. The transcript has a single exon. The record is from RefSeq and is a predicted model, not a curated record.